This 690-nucleotide ribosomal RNA is filed under the name Actinomadura madurae. RNAcentral describes it as "bacterial SSU rRNA". It matches the Rfam family "Bacterial small subunit ribosomal RNA", at positions 57 to 762 of the family's 1533-position model. Lineage: Bacteria; Bacillati; Actinomycetota; Actinomycetes; Streptosporangiales; Thermomonosporaceae. The record is from RNAcentral.
GCAAGUCGAGCGGAAAGGCCCCUUCGGGGGUACUCGAGCGGCGAACGGGUGAGUAACACGUGAGCAACCUGCCCCUGACUCUGGGAUAAGCCCGGGAAACUGGGUCUAAUACCGGAUGUGACCAGCCUCCGCAUGGAGUGCUGGUGGAAAGUUUUUCGGUUGGGGAUGGGCUCGCGGCCUAUCAGCUUGUUGGUGGGGUGAUGGCCUACCAAGGCGACGACGGGUAACCGGCCUGAGAGGGCGACCGGUCACACUGGGACUGAGACACGGCCCAGACUCCUACGGGAGGCAGCAGUGGGGAAUAUUGCGCAAUGGGCGGAAGCCUGACGCAGCGACGCCGCGUGAGGGAUGACGGCCUUCGGGUUGUAAACCUCUUUCAGCAGGGACGAAGCUAACGUGACGGUACCUGCAGAAGAAGCGCCGGCUAACUACGUGCCAGCAGCCGCGGUAAUACGUAGGGCGCAAGCGUUGUCCGGAAUUAUUGGGCGUAAAGAGCUCGUAGGCGGUUUGUCGCGUCUGUCGUGAAAGCCCACGGCUUAACCGUGGGUCUGCGGUGGAUACGGGCAGACUAGAGGCAGGUAGGGGAGAAUGGAAUUCCCGGUGUAGCGGUGAAAUGCGCAGAUAUCGGGAGGAACACCGGUGGCGAAGGCGGUUCUCUGGGCCUGUACUGACGCUGAGGAGCGAAAGCGU